Hevea brasiliensis (rubber tree) is the source of this 1704-nucleotide long non-coding RNA. RefSeq lists it as uncharacterized. NCBI's taxonomy places the organism in Eukaryota, Viridiplantae, Streptophyta, Magnoliopsida, Malpighiales, Euphorbiaceae. The transcript is spliced from 4 exons. The record is from RefSeq and is a predicted model, not a curated record.
AAGCACGAAAUCAAUCGUGAGCAAAAUAGUAAAAUUUGUAAAAAAGAGAAGCGGGUCCCAAUCAACCCUACUGUACUCUUUUUUGAAGAGCGGUUGCACAAUCCAGGUGGUGCAACCUUGCGUGUUGAAUGAUUGGGUAGGACGGACCAUCCACCAAAAAUGGAGGAUUGGAGUCGGAGAGGACGGACCAUCGUGGAGGGUGCGAGUGAUGGCAGACCAUGUUGGAGAUAGUUCAAACCUCUGGCAGCACCCAAUGCUACUUUCAUCCUCUCCACCCAUGUCAGUGGCAAGGGGCAAUGUUCUGCAUCAUGCCAAAGAUUUUACCUAGUGUCUUGUUAAACCUCUUGACUAUCAGUUUGAUAAAGGAAGCAUACUCAUAUACAAGCAGCUUCAUUCUUCCUUCUAUACAGGAUCCCAACAGCAUCAACACAUUUUUAUGUCUAGCUUUCAUCAGCAGAUCGACUUCUGAUAGGAAAUCCAUCUCUCCCUGAGGGCUUGAAUUUCUGUGCUGCUUAACAACUAUUUUCAUGUUAUUACUUUUCAGCUGACAUCUGAAGGCAGAUCCAAUUCCACCUUCAGAUAAAGAGUUCUGUGAUGAAAAACCAUCUGUGGCAUCAUAGAGUUCUGCAUAUGUGAAGUCCCUUUGCCAACUGAAAUUUGGUCGUCUAUUCUUGCAAAGAGCACACAUUGGAUUUUGAAAGAUCUCCUUAGCUUGCCACUCUGCUUUCUCAGUUCUGCUGCUCUGUGUCAUUUUUUGAACAUGGCUCUCUUCAGUUACACCUGUCAUUCAACUCCACUCAAUUGAACGUGCUGCAAGCUUUUGGAGUUAAGAACAUAAAGCAUUCGUUAACAUAUAUUGAGGAGGUUAGUUACUUGGGCAAAUUUCAACGCUGAAAAGGUCAUCAAGGGAUCCUGGCAUGAUUUUGUUGUGGGUGACUUGAUUGUUCUGCAGUUCCUCCUUAGCAGCUUCUUGCUUCUUGCAUGAGGGGUCUCACUAUGGGUUUCAACCUGGCGAAGAACUGAAAGGAGGGUGAGCAUAUCACCAGGCUUAAGGGAUAAGCCUUGCAAUGCCCACCUCAACGCGCUUGAACUAACUUCUCUUGAUGCAUCCUGGAUCACCACCACCCUCUGAGCUUCCAUUGGACUUGUCUGCUUGGAAGCUCCAAACACUUUAGCUACUUUAAAUUAUUUUGUUUUAGGAUAUAUAGAAAUUACAUUACUGAUUUCAUGUUUGACAAGCUGUAGUCUUAACAGCUAGAGAAAUUUCCCAAGAAUCUGUGUAAGUGAUGGUGGCGAAUCCUGGAAAACAUCUUAUCAGAAGUUGAUUCAAGCGUAUAUUCUGAUUUCCAAAGGGACUUCUAGUUCUAGUUUUUAUAUAGAAAAAAAAAAGAUUUAAUUUAAAGCCUUUAGCUGGCAAAUAGGUAUGUUCAUUCCUAGGACAAGAACAUCUUCAACCAAUGCAAUGAUGUUCGGUAUGUUAGCAGAGCUACAAGAGUACAAGACAAAGAGGCUAGAAAUUUUUGUGACAGAAACAAAGUUGUCUUUGGAGAAUCAUGGAUGAAUCCUUUGGCUUCGAGCAUUGAAGAAUCCUGCAGACAUGCUGGGCUCCUAUAUUUGAAAAAAUAAACGUUUCUUCGAUUCUUCUUUUCAUAUUACUGAACAUUUGUUCAUUCCAAAGUGCUUCUUAUUUUUUUACAGUUUAUG